RNAcentral lists this long non-coding RNA (2516 nucleotides) under Ananas comosus (pineapple). Its description in RNAcentral is "long non-coding RNA (ACOM_LNC018609)". The record is from RNAcentral. Lineage: Eukaryota; Viridiplantae; Streptophyta; Magnoliopsida; Poales; Bromeliaceae.
UUCCCUCUCUCUCUCUCUCUCUCUCUCUCUAAAUCUAAAACAUCAACCAACACUACUGCAGUAUUACUUUAUAUUAGAAUAAUGGUAUUAUCCCUUUCUUUAUAUUAGAAUUUGAACUUUUAUAUUUUAUAUUUAUAUUUUAGAAUUUAAAAUAUAUACUUUUAAAUUUUAAAAUUUUAAAAUCUCAAAUUUACAAUUUUAAAAAAUUAAAAUUUUAAUUUUUAAACUUUAAUAAAUAGUUAUUAAUUUAGCCAAUAUUUUAUUACUAACUUAGUCAAUUAUUAAUUUAGUUAAUUAAUUAAUAAAAUAUUAUAUAAUACAUUAAUUAAUAAUAUUUUAUUAUUAAAUUAGUAGAGGUAUAAAGAGAAGAAAUUGUUAUUCCACCAAAAAGGUGGAACAACAAUUUCUUACUCUUAACGGGUUAUUCUAGAAUAACCCGUUAAGAUGGGGAUUAAAUAAACUCAUCCCCUCUUCUAGUGUUUGGAUGAAUUAGAGGAAUAAAGUGGUUUAUUCUCACUUUAUUCCUCAACCAAACACUGCCUUAAUACAUAUCUGGAGUUGGGGAGAUGUUGGUAGUAGGCCUAACUAAUCUCUUAUUUCCGGACCCAGAACUUUUUUAUAAAAUAAUCCUAUAAAAUUUUGAUAUUUGCAAAAUAAUCUUUCCAAAAUUAUAUUUAAAAAAUUAAUCCUCUUUUUGUCAUGCAAGAAUCACGUAAGAGUUUUCUCUUAAAGACGUUCUUUUUAUAUCUCAUAUAUAAUCUUAACAACCAUAUAAAUAUUUCAACAAAUCAUACAUAAUAUUAAUAAGCUGAAAAUUCUAAUAACUAUCCAUACAACCCUAACAAUCAAAAAAAUUCUAAUAAUCUAUCCAUAUAACCCUAAUAAUCGAAUAUCAUAUAUAAUCUUAACAACUUGAAAAUCCUAAAAAUUUAUCCAUACAAUUCUAACAAUUAAAAAAAAUCCUAGUAAUCUAUCCAUACAAUCCUAACAAUAAAAAAAAUUAUAAUAAUCUAUCCAUACAAUCUUAACAAUAAAAAAAAUCUUAAUAAUCUAUACAAUCCUAACAAUCAAACAAAAAUUCUAAUAAUUCAUAUAUAAUCCUAACAAUCUUAUUUUUUUUUUAUUUUCCGUAUAAUCUACGUACAAUUUUAAGAACCUUAAAAAUUAUGAAAAAAGUGGUGAACUGUUAACCGUCUUAANGUAGUAUAUCAAAUUCUCUUUAUGCAACCAAGAUGAUGAUCAAUACUGAUAUAUCAGAAAUAUUGGAGUUCAAAAAUAAGUAAGUUAACCAAUAACCUUAUUAUUUUUUUUAUAUAUAUUGUUCACUUACAUUAAAAUAUAAAAUUUAGGAUUAUAAAAUUUAGGAUUGUAAGCGGAGAACAAAGUAAAUCUAUGGUGCUUAGUGAAAUUUCAACUUAAUCCACUAUUUCUCUAACGAAUGACUUCCUAAAAGUAUCUCAAAGAAAAACUCUGGCUGAAAUUCAAGAAUGCCAACAGGUAAAUAAGUGUAAAUAUCUUAUCCAUAUUUAUCGUUUUAAUAUAUUUUAUUCUCUUAUUCUUAAUACUGAAUAUAUAUCAUCUUUUCAGCCUUGUGUAUAUGUAACUCUAGCAACUAUUCUAAGUGUUGAGACUGAGCGUGGCCGAUACUACAAUUCUUGCAAAAAAUGUAGCAAAAAGAUGAUUCCUGAUGGAACUGGAUUCUAUUGUGAAUUUUGUGAGAGAAUGAUAACUUGUGUUGGACUAAGGUGAGAAUUUUUACUUCUACACUCGACGUGUAUGAUUUAAUGUGAUGUUUUUCUAACUACAAUCUAUAAUAUGCAGGUAGUUUCAAAGUCCAACUAAGGGUGCUAGAUGAGUCUGGGAGUGCUUCGUUGAUUUUAUUUGAUCGUGAGAUUGUCCAGUUUCUGCAAAAUACUGCCGCGCAAUUACACCAACAAGUUUUAUUGGUAAGUGCGUAUUAUUUAUCAUAAAUAUAUGUAGUAUGUUUCUUAUUUUUAUAUAUACUAAUAGUAAAUAUUUUUACUCAGACGGGUGACAUGAGCCAGGCACCUGAAAAGCUUGAUGAGUUUCUGGGAAAAAUAAUACUAUUCAAGAUAAGGAUUAAAGACAAUAAUAUCAAUCAUCCUAAGCCUGUGUACACAGUGAACAAACUGAGCAGCGAUAAAACUCUGAUUGAUGAAUUUUUGAAGAAGUCAAUUUUAAUUGAGGUAAUUGGCAAUUCUAAAUUUAAAUAUGAUGCUACAAUUCAAGUCGAUCUAUAUAAAUAUAUAUANUCCUAACAAUCUUAUUUUUUUUUUAUUUUCCGUAUAAUCUACGUACAAUUUUAAGAACCUUAAAAAUUAUGAAAAAAGUGGUGAACUGUUAACCGUCUUAAUAAAUGCGGUGAAUAAUUUACUGCUUUUAGAAGACCUUUUUUCUAAAUGCGAUGAAUGAUUUAACAUAUUUCGAAAAUUAAAUUGCCAAAUAAAAUUUUGGUAGGAUUAUUUUGUAAAUUAUAAAAUUUAAAAAAAUUAUUU